UCACAGUUUUAUUUGUUUAUUUUGGCUACAUUGCGCCAAUUGCGCUUCCAUAGAAUAAAGAAACGCGCUUCCACGCGCUUGCCGACUCGAUCGCAAGGGGACAGCCUGAUCAACAUCAACAUCAGCAGCAAUGGCGGAUUUGCGCUUGCCAUGGCGCUUGCAAAGUUUUCAAUAGUUUUCGACUAUUACGUGAUGCUUUUGCUAUUUUAACGUGUGGAGGUUCAUUGUACGUCUGUUUUUUCAAGUUUGGCAUGUGUUUUAACACAUGUGAAGGUGUAGACUUUUCUUCUUCAGCGGAUAUUUGUACAAGACCCCGUUCACCGUCUAUCAGCUCUAGCUCGGCAAGAAUAAAGCGGUUCCUUAGAAGUGGUGGAGGUGCUGGGGUUCUGCAUACCAAGGACGUAUAAGGUAACAGUGUUUGUGCCUUUUAUAUGUCUCAUUAGAUCAUUUUGAGACGUGGUGGUGUUCAUGCGCUAGCACAGUGCAAGGACAUCCACAAUGUAAGAGGUACAUGAUUCUCGAAUUGUAUACUCUCUCUGGGCUUUUCUCACGAUUUCAGCACAAGUAGUGGGAGCAUCAAAAAACUGACAAAGCUGGUGCAUGAAUGUUGCCCAGUGUUGGCGUUCCUUGGUGUUGAAAUUAUCCUUCCUUUCUCUAAAUCCAAGGGCGAGAUCUUGCAUUCUGAAUGUUUGCUUGCGCUCUCAUUAUUCGCCUUCACCAUGCUUUCGUCAGCGGUCGUCUGCUUGGUGAAGUGGGAGUGCCUAUUGAACACUGCCUACUCACUGAUGUAGAAGGUGAAGCAAACAGUCAGAAAGCUAGAAGCUUGCCCAAUCUCAUCCCAGGUUUUUAAUCCAGUUUGACAUUGAAGCAUCCUGGUAGUAUUAAAGUACUUUAGAAAGAGGUUCCAGAAGCAUUGCCAAGUUUGCCACUUGGUGAAAUUUGUAGUUUGGAAACAAUUUAGGCUCUUAGCAAGAUUAGUAGUGAACAGAGGUUUUCACAUGGCGAUUGGUGUUGUCCAAAUGCAUGAAGAGGUCACAGUACGAGUACUUAAGCUGAUAGUGUUGGGUAACCAUAAGCACCAGCAGGGGCCCCGUAACAGUGUCCCCUUUAACUUCAGAUAUGCUUCACUGCAUGAUGCUAAAUAUGCUUCGCCGCAUAACACGACUCUGCUGCAGUGAAGGUGACUUAAACCGACAACAGCCGAGAAGGUGCAAUCAGCACUGCGCUGCCUGGUUCUUGCUGUUGGCCUUUUCUUCUUUUCACAGUGUCCUUACUGUAAGUGCACUCCAGAGUUACAAUGCAGGAAUAUGCAUGUGUGCAUAAGCUUUCAUUCAAGAGUAACUCAUGAUCAUAAGUUACGUCAUUAUGGUUUCGUACCAUGUCACAGCAUCAUAAGUGAGACUUAAUAAAGAAGCCCUCAAAGUUUGCGGGAGAGACUAAUCUUUUGUGCGAGAUUGUGCUAUCCUUGCUGCACGCAGUGCAAUAUUAUGACUCUCAUGUCUAUGGUGGCAUUGUCGAUUAUGAAUGUUUCCUUACUGCGUUAAAAAAAUGUGAGCGCAUCUUUCAGAUAAUAAUGGCAUUAUAGCUUCAGAGUUGUUCAAGUUUGGGGUACUUGUUCACUAAAAGUACAUUAUCAGAAAAGCUUUAGAAUGUCUAGGUCAUAAUUGCAUUUGAAGAACUAAGUCUUCCUACACAUAGCAAUUGGUAGCUUACUGUGUAAUGUUGAAGGUGGUUUUUAUUCAUAGGCCCUACGCAGAGAGCAGCAACACAAUGCCUGGCAUGUGACCAGGGUUCAUCACAGUGUUUGCAUUUCCAGUGCUCGUAACUGAUUCCAAGCAUAAAUUUGCUUUAUGAAUUCUUUGUAGACAGAAGGUGCUUGCAUAUUGGUUGCAUGAAAUGCUCCAAUGCACACUGUAUAUGUACAGGGUGUCUUUUAUUACCAUACAGAUUUUCUUGUUUUAAAGUUAUGAGUGCAGCAAAUGUGGCAUUCUUGCAGAGGAAUUCCUCUAUUUUGAAACUCCACAAAUUUGGAGGCAGUCACAUUUUAUAGCACUCUCAUUUCUUACAAAUCUUGAAAGUUGCACCUAAUUCAAGAUAUUCAUCAUUGAAUUUCACUGGUAAAUCGAGGCAAUAUUGGAACCGAGUGUGCUGGGAGCGCAGAAAAGAAGGUCCCGCUACCUCAUCAGAUGGAAACACCCCCGACAACAGGCUCGAGAAAGUCUGAAACAACAUCUUGGCCAGUCAUUGUAGCAGCUGAUACGACACACUUUGCCUGGCAAGCAUGUGCAUCAGUGUGCCGUGUCAGGCUAUCAUUUAAGCUUUGUCCCACACUUCUUGACAGGGCACUGCCACCUGAUGUGGAGCAGGAUGCACCAAGUUUUGAUUGUACUCAAUUGAGCGCGAUGAAUAUGUCCUUGCAUUUGCUAUAGCAAGGAUUUUUAAAAAUCAGCCACAAAAGAAAAAAAAUAAAUGGUCAAGGAACGAAGUGGUGUGUAGCAGCUCCCUUUUUUUUUAAUCGGCAGCAAGUUUUGCACUCGUGUGUUAGGAACAGUUUCGCCAGUUGUGUACUUCAAAAGAAGUGUUACCUUUCUGCUUUGGAACUUUGUGGUUUUGUUCUGCCAGCUGCUUGACCAACACAAGCAAAAUGUACUUUGGAUAUUCCACAAAUUCAUUCUGUAUGCAUUUGGUACAAUAAAAUUUGUUUCAAGAAUGGACAAA
Molecule: non-coding RNA, 2718 nt
Organism: Dermacentor andersoni
Lineage: Eukaryota; Metazoa; Arthropoda; Arachnida; Ixodida; Ixodidae
Source: RefSeq, a predicted model, not a curated record